RNAcentral lists this ribosomal RNA (1221 nucleotides) under Triticum aestivum (bread wheat). RNAcentral describes it as "partial small subunit ribosomal RNA". The record is from RNAcentral. Lineage: Eukaryota; Viridiplantae; Streptophyta; Magnoliopsida; Poales; Poaceae.
AUGGUACCAACUACAUUGAGUUUGUUGGCUUCAUGCGCAUUCAUAUGCGUGGCCUUCGUCUCUGGGGCGUUCUUUCUGGCGAGGUCCCCAGUCCGCCGUGUCCGGUUCCUCCUGUGGUUCCUACUCCGCCGACGCCACCGGUUCUUGCUGCCGACGCUGAUUAGGCUGCUAAGGAUGCAACUAAGCUGGCUGAUGACGCUGCCGUUUGUGCUUAUGAUGAGCAGGUUCAGACCUAUGAGGACGCACUUUAGACUUAUCAUGCAAAUUUGUCUGCUUACACUCAGUGGCUUGAUGAUGAUGCUCGUGCCGCAGCUGUUCUCACUGCUAGUGUUCUGCCUCAGUUUGCCUCUGAGUUUCUCGGCCUCUCUACUGUAUUUGAGAUGUGGACUCGCCUUCGUCAGCGCUAUCAGCCCUCUGGUGAUGCCUUAUACCUGUCUGUGGUUCGUCAGGAGCAUGCUCUUCAGCAGGGUGACUCCACUGUUGAUGAGUUCUAUGCACAGAGUUCUGCUAUCUGGCGUCAGCUUGAUUCUCUCUGCACUGCUGGUUGUCGUACUUGUACGUGUUGCCAGGCUAUGCGGGUUGAUUUGGAGUUUCAUCGUGUCUACGAGUUCUUGUCUCGACUCCGUAAGGAGUUUGAGCCCCAGCGCGCUCAGUUGUUUGCUCGUGGUCGUAUCUCCCUCAUGGAGGCGCUUUCUGAGAUCCGUGCUGAGGAGACUCGCCUCCGUGGCGCUGGUUUACUUGAGGUUCCCUCUGUGCUUGCUGCUCGAGUUCCUGCUAUGCCGCCUGCUGCACCGACUCCUUCUCGCUCAAGUGCUCCGCCGCUCUUGCCUACUCCUACGGGCGGCCAGGGUCGGUCUCGUCCUCACCGCGGCUACUGCAAUAUGGAUGGUCAUGUUGAGUCUCAGUGCUUCCAGAAGAAGAAACACCUGCGUAAGGCGCGAUCAUCAGCUUCAGGACUUUGGUGUUUCUGUUACUACACCUACUCUGCUCUUAUCUGACAUUACAGGUGCUAUUAGCAUUGCGCGCGAUCCUGUGAAGCAUGAGCUCACCAAGCAUAUUGGUGUUGAUGCUUUCUAUGUGCGCGCUGGUGUGCAGGAUCAGGUUAUUGCUCUUCAGUAUGUGCCUUCCGAGUUACAGUUGGCGGAUUUUCUGACGAAGGCCCAGACUAGAGCGCAGCAUGGCUUCUAUCUCUCCAAACUUAGUGUUGUUAAUCCACCAUGA